Frankliniella occidentalis (western flower thrips) is the source of this 1232-nucleotide long non-coding RNA. RefSeq lists it as uncharacterized. The record is from RefSeq and is a predicted model, not a curated record. Lineage: Eukaryota; Metazoa; Arthropoda; Insecta; Thysanoptera; Thripidae. The transcript has 2 exons.
UGGUAGUAGGUAGACACGUCCCUGAUCAUGGACACAAAAAUGUGGUCACAAAUGGGGCAACAUGGUACGAAUUCCAACGCCACCAGCCACACGCCCCUUUUGUAGUUAAACAGUUGUAGCUACAAUCGUCAUGACCGCAUGCAGCUUCAUCCGAACCAAAAUUGUCGACCCUAAGAUCAACUCCCGGUCGGGGCAAUUUUUUUUCUUUGUCGCUUAUUUUUGUCACCCGUUAGGCAGGACCGAGCUUAGACCUCGGCCCCGGAGGAGCAAGCUGGUAGCCGAGCGUAUUAAAGCGUGAUCGUUGGCAGAUCGUGGGGAUGGGCGGUAGUUCGAACCCCGUCCGCGAUCAUUUUUCCUGCUCUGCUGGCCAAGUGUCUUCGGGCGUCAGUCACAGCCGAGAUCUGGAUGCUACCGCUAGUUGUGCUCUGUAUGUAUCAUGUAUCGUUCAGUCGUGGCCAAGUUCAAGUUCAAGGGGCUGUCAAAAUAAGAUACGGUUUGGCCGACCGACCGACCGACCGACCGUCAACCUCGGAACGACCAGGACGACCGAAAUAUCGUGUUCGGGGGUUUUCUCGCACGCUGAGUCCAAAUCUGGUAGUGCCGAUGUCGUCCGGGCCCCCGGGGACGUCAGUGGGGACCUUCCCGAGCACGCCCAUGACCCCCCCACGACAAAUACGAUUCGGCUCCAAACGUUGUUACACACGGGAUAGUGUAUAUUUCUUAAAAGUCGCCAAAUAUAAUUAUUAUUAAUAGCAAAUCGCCCAUCAUAGUUUAUUAUCCUGAUCAUUUCACUAUUGUCACAUGGCACUUCCCUGGCGUUGCCGCCUGGAGCCACUCACACAACGAUGCACGGGACGGGAAGCAUCCCCAAAGGAUCACAUCUUGGACAAGCGAGGCGGGAUUGCCUACCCCAGGAAAGAAUAACAUCCCGCGACCACGAUAUGCCGGCGAGUGUUCCGUAAUUAUUGCUCUCCCCCUUUGCCGUGCCGCGUCCCCUACCCCUUCUCCUCCUCCCCACCGCGCCCCGCGCCUUUAUGGAAACGUAAACAAACAGUGAAAAUCGGCCAAAUACCGAUAAUACCUACUCAUAUAAUUGAUGAUGAUAGGAUUUUAACCAGAAUUUUAGAGUGGAUAUCGCCGCUGUUCGAUAUUAAUUGUAAGGAACUCGGCCCAGAAAUGUUCUUGACAUGAGCAAGAGAAGUCUAUGGAGUCAUUUUACCCAAAAGAAUAGG